This 107-nucleotide ribosomal RNA is filed under the name uncultured Sebacinales. Its description in RNAcentral is "partial 5.8S ribosomal RNA". The stretch from base 1 to 59 matches the Rfam family "5.8S ribosomal RNA", at positions 96 to 154 of the family's 154-position model. Rfam says of the family: 5.8S ribosomal RNA (5.8S rRNA) is a component of the large subunit of the eukaryotic ribosome. It is transcribed by RNA polymerase I as part of the 45S precursor that also contains 18S and 28S rRNA. The record is from RNAcentral. Lineage: Eukaryota; Fungi; Basidiomycota; Agaricomycetes; Sebacinales.
AUCUUUGAACGCACCUUGCACCCUUUGGUAUUCCAAAGGGUACACCCGUUUGAGUGUCAUUGUAAUCUCACUUUAUCAGCUUUUGUUGAUGGAGGUGGACCUGGACU